AAGGAUCAUUAACAAAUCUGCUAUAUGGCGAGCUUGCUCGUGCAUAUAUAUUUACCCCGAGCCUGGCAGCAAUGCCGGCUUUGGUUGGGUGGGGCGCAAGCCCUGCUCCGGUUGUGCGGCGUUAACGCGUUGCCUACCACAUAGACGCUUGUAUGUUUGACAGAGUUACAGUUGUAAAACUAAAAUGACAACUUUUAACAAUGGAUCUCUUGGCUCUU
RNAcentral lists this unclassified non-coding RNA (218 nucleotides) under uncultured fungus. Its description in RNAcentral is "partial contains 18S rRNA, ITS1, 5.8S rRNA, ITS2 and 28S rRNA". The record is from RNAcentral. Lineage: Eukaryota; Fungi.